RNAcentral lists this ribosomal RNA (253 nucleotides) under uncultured bacterium. Its description in RNAcentral is "partial 16S ribosomal RNA". It matches the Rfam family "Bacterial small subunit ribosomal RNA", at positions 524 to 776 of the family's 1533-position model. The record is from RNAcentral.
UACGAAGGGGGCUAACGUUGUUCGGAAUUACUGGGCGUAAAGCGUGUGUAGGCGGUCCACUAAGUCGGGUGUGAAAGCCCUGGGCUCAACCCAGGAAGUGCACUCGAAACUGGCGGGCUAGAGUAUCGGAGAGGUUGGUGGAAUUCUCGGUGUAGAGGUGAAAUUCGUAGAUAUCGAGAGGAACACCGGUGGCGAAGGCGGCCAACUGGACGAAUACUGACGCUGAGACACGAAAGCGUGGGGAGCAAACAGG